This 422-nucleotide ribosomal RNA is filed under the name uncultured bacterium. Its description in RNAcentral is "bacterial SSU rRNA". It matches the Rfam family "Bacterial small subunit ribosomal RNA", at positions 355 to 774 of the family's 1533-position model. The record is from RNAcentral.
UGAGGAAUAUUGGGCAAUGCCCGCAAGGGUGACCCAGCAACGCCGCGUGGAGGAUGAAUGUCGUAAGAUUGUAAACUCCUGUUAGAGGGGAAGAAUAGUACCGGUUGGACCGGUAUAUGACUGUACCCUCAGAGAAAGCCCCGGCUAACUUCGUGCCAGCAGCCGCGGUAAUACGAAGGGUGCAAGCGUUACUCGGAAUCACUGGGCGUAAAGCGUGCGUAGGUGGUUGUUUAAGUCUGAUGUGAAAGCCCUGGGCUCAACCUGGGAAUGGCAUUGGNAACUGGGCAGCUAGAGUGCGGUAGAGGGUAGUGGAAUUCCCGGUGUAGCAGUGAAAUGCGUAGAGAUCGGGAGGAACAUCUGUGGCGAAGGCGACUGCCUGGACCAGCACUGACACUGAGGCACGAAAGCGUGGGGAGCAAACA